Molecule: long non-coding RNA, 829 nt
Organism: Pteropus alecto (black flying fox)
Lineage: Eukaryota; Metazoa; Chordata; Mammalia; Chiroptera; Pteropodidae
Exons: 2
Source: RefSeq, a predicted model, not a curated record
CGGCCUCUUGCCUCCGAGGCGUCUCGUCCUGCAGCUGCUGCUGGAGCCAUACCUCCGAGGCGAUUCGGCCCAUUCCGCAAGGGAGGCGAAUGAAGCUCAGAAAGUCUCUUGUCCUCCCAGGUACACAGUACCUGAGGUGGCCUUGUCAGAAUUUAAACCCAGAGUCUUUGAUUUAAACCAGGGCACCGUGUGGCCUCUGAUCAUCGCUACCUAUUAUCAUUAUAAAAUCCUUUGUGAUUCCUGCCAGGACCGGCUCAGGAGCGAUGCAUGUGGCAGGAUCCGCUCUCAGCUCUUGCACAUUUAUAGAAGAUGUAGCCUAGCACGUGACCUCCCAGCCAAAGGCCACAUUUCACAGGCUCCCUUGCAGCCACGUGUGACCAUGGGGCUGUUCUGGCCAUUGGAAUGUGAGUGAGAAUAAUGUAGACAGUUUCCGAGGCAUACUUUUUAUAAAGGAAAAGAAGGAAAACGUCUCCACUUCUUUCUCCCUACUGGCUGGAAUGCAAAGUUGAUGGCUAAAGCCAUGGCAGCCAUCUCGGACCAUGAGACGAAAGAUAGAACGAGACAGAAGAAGCCUGAAUCCCAACUCUGCGGAGCCUCCAUAUGUAAUUCCAACCACUUACGAAGACUUUUAUACACAGAGGUAACAUUUUUCCAUCUUGUUUAAGCCAUGCUGUUUUGUAUUUUUUUGUCACAGCAGCCAAACUUGUGACUUCAUAGCUGAGUCACCAGGACACAGGAGCCUGUGACCUGCUGCAUUUAAAAGAGCAGACCUGCUCUACUUGUUGAGGCUUUUUAUGUGAGAAAUAAACCAUCCUGCUUAAACUGGUUA